AACGAACGCUGGCGGCAUGCCUAACACAUGCAAGUCGAACGAGACCUUCGGGUCUAGUGGCGCACGGGUGCGUAACGCGUGGGAAUCUGCCCUUGGGUUCGGAAUAACAGCGAGAAAUUGCUGCUAAUACCGGAUGAUGACGUAAGUCCAAAGAUUUAUCGCCCAAGGAUGAGCCCGCGUAGGAUUAGCUAGUUGGUGAGGUAAAAGGCUCACCAAGGCACGAUCCUUAGCUGGUCUGAGAGGAUGAUCAGCCACACUGGGACUGAGACACGGCCCAGACUCCUACGGGAGGCAGCAGUGGGGAAUAUUGGACAAUGGGCGAAAGCCUGAUCCAGCAAUG
This 340-nucleotide ribosomal RNA is filed under the name uncultured bacterium. RNAcentral describes it as "bacterial SSU rRNA". It matches the Rfam family "Bacterial small subunit ribosomal RNA", at positions 29 to 396 of the family's 1533-position model. The record is from RNAcentral.